RNAcentral lists this long non-coding RNA (1625 nucleotides) under Ananas comosus (pineapple). RNAcentral's name for it is "long non-coding RNA (ACOM_LNC036685)". The record is from RNAcentral. Lineage: Eukaryota; Viridiplantae; Streptophyta; Magnoliopsida; Poales; Bromeliaceae.
UAAAAUAAUAAUUUUAGACCAAAUUGAAUAUAUAUAAAUUAAAAUUUAUUUUUUAUAAGAUUAACUUGUGCUAAGUUUAUUUUCAGCCCUUAGAUCUAAUAUGAAUAUAUGAUUUAGAUAAAAAAAUGUCGGUUAGGUUAGUUUGACUAAAAUCGGACAAAUCGGACCAAUUUGCCGGUGCAAACAUCGCCGAUUCAAACGAAUUUAAGGACUUAUCCGAUUUAAAGAGUUGAAUCAAAUUACUUUAUAGGUAGAGUCACGAUCAGAUCGUCCGAUCCAGUUCUUUAAUAAUUGAGAAAGACAUAUCACUCUUCUUUAAUAAUUGAGAAAGACAUAUUACUCUAUUGAAUGGUGAAGAUUGAAAUAUAAGAUGAAAUGAACGGUGAAGAUUGAAAUAUAAGAUAGAAUGAAGGGUUGGAGCAAACUCGGCAUGUUGCGGUGCACGGUCGUAUGGUGCACGCGCGUGCACCCAACGGUGUCCGCACUCAGUCCUCAGUUGUCCACGUGUCCGCACCACGUCCCCCACAAUGCUGUCACGAAAGGUCCACGUGUCCCUAUCACUGCCGUCCACGUGUCCCUCUCGGAAACGGCGCUUCUUAUCCGCAACAUUCGAAUCCGCGCGCUCCCGUACGUUAUUUACUGCCCCUCAACUUUUACCCUUUUUUUAAUUAUCUUAAAAUUAAGAUAAAAUUUAAAUUAAAUAAAUUUAUAAAUGUUCUUAAAAUGAAAUGGCUAAUUAUUAUUAUUAUUUGGUAAAAUUUCCAAAUUUAACAAUUAUUUUAACGUGCAUGAGUGCAUACGAAAAUUUCAAAAUUAAUAAGAGUUAAGGGAUGUUUUCCAAAAGAAUCUACAGUUGAGGGGCCUCCAUACAAUUUUACACGGAUAUUAUUAUAAAGUUAAGUGUGCGCCCGUCGUUCGCGCCUCUCAUCAUUCUCGCACUUUUCCCGACCAAAUCCCUCCUGCCAAAAUUUAAAUUUCCCCAAAAAACCCCCGAAAAGAAAAAAAAUUAAAUAUUUUAGCUAAAAAAUGUAUGAACUUUCAAAAUGGUCCCUCAACUUUAAACUUCGAUUGAGAUUUCUUAAACUUUUGAUUUUGAGUCAAACAAAUUAAAAAUUUUAUCAGACUUAUCAGUAAAGUUAUAGAAUUUGAUUAUUUUAAUUAUAUUUAGUAAAAAAAAAAUUAAAUAAUUAGCGACUGAUAGGUGGUAGAGCUCUUUUAAAUUUAACAAAAUCUUCAACUAAAGCAACGGGACCUAUUUAAAAAUCAACUAUAGUUAUGGGUUCUUCCUACAUUUCUACCAAAAUUUUAAAUCCCCCUCCCUUUUAAAAUUAGAAGUUAAGGGGGCUAAGUUCGAAAUAUCGUACAAUUAAGGGGUGCCCGUACAUUUUUUCCCCAAAUUUAAAUUCCCCUCCAUUUUUAUCUUCCUUCGUACGCCCCCCGUUCAAAAAUUUCCCCCAAAUUCAAAAUGCGGUAACCUCACCGGGCAAAAUGUUGGUGGGUGCGAGUACGUCCACAUCCACCGUCCAUCACGCUUAUCGCGCGAAUCUCAAAGCAUGUUGAACGGUGGCUGCGUCCCAUGUCUCGCCCCGGUAACCUUACCGCCCUCAUCUCCUUCCUCAAGAAGC